Long non-coding RNA from Parus major (Great Tit), 7390 nucleotides. RefSeq lists it as uncharacterized. The transcript is spliced from 3 exons. The record is from RefSeq and is a predicted model, not a curated record. Lineage: Eukaryota; Metazoa; Chordata; Aves; Passeriformes; Paridae.
GAAUUUAGAGAACUGAAAAUAAUAAAAAAUAUAAAUUUAAUUAAAAUAUAAUUAAUACUUGUUAUCUAAAGAUACACAAAAUUGGUAGAUUUUUGACCUGCUUCAGUGUUCAUCUUUCAUUAAAUAAUCCUGGUUCUCUAUAACAAUUAUAUGUCUAUGACUUCAAAUUGGUUAUGUUGUAUCUGAGUAAACUGCUAACCCAAAACUUCUCCCCUGUUCUAUUUUUCAUGCCCUAAUUAGAGCAUUUUCUAACAAAUAAAACUAAAAACCCACCAAAUUAACACCAUCUUGUGCUUCUUGUUAGUUCAAUAUAAUUAUGGAACUUAACACUCUAAAUGGUAAUUGUACUUAGUGUUGAGCACAGCAAUAUUUUUACAACUUCAGAACAAAUCAAAUUAGCAUUUUUGUCAAAUAAAGUCAAUUGUACUUAAAAUUUACUUCUUGAUACAUUUAGACUAAUGUUUUACAGUGACCUAAUGCCUGCUGGACACAGAAUCUGCUGCUAGGAUUCAUCUGUCUGAGUGUCAAUGGGAUUGCUGAGCAAUCUGAGGGAUUGUUCUUCUAGAAUGCAGUUUGUCUUAUUUGCAAAUAGAUCUCUAAAAAUAGGUCAGAUGAAUUGUAGCUUCAGAAUGAUUAUUUCAUUCCACUGAUUAUAAAUUUUUUAUUUAAGUGGCUGAUCAUCCCAUAAAUCCCAUGAUGAAAUUUCUCAUUGCAUUAUCUAUUUUGGAGGUCCCAGGUGUAAGAAGAUAUUGAAUUAGAUUUUUUUAUAUAUAGUAGACAAAACUCUAAGUUUUUAAUUAGAUAAUUAACUUAGAAACAGAAUGAGUAAGAUUGAAAUAAAACUUUUACUGUUCAGAGAAAUGCCCUAACUAUUUAAGCAGGUCCUGUUUGCAAAAUCUAAAAGAUCAGAUCAUAAUUUUCUUAAAUAAUUUAAUUGAAGAUUCAAAAGAAAUUUCCAGUAAAAUCACUAAUCAUCAAAUUAUUGUAAAAGUUUAUAAAUAAAGAUCAUUUAAACUAGUAGAACAUGUGAAAGUCAAUUGUACAACUGAAUAUUAAUAGGGUUUGUUGCCUUUUUUUAUCCGAGCCACUAUGCAACACAGGCCUUAUUUUUUUUUUCCAUUGCAGUUAAAAGCAGUGAUAAUAAAAUAAUCAAAGCUCCAGAUAAUAAAAGCUAAUGAAACAAAAACAGUAUUCUGGAUAAUGAUGGGUCACCCUCACAGACACAGAUGAAGCAUUUCAUUCAGAACCCAGGUUUGUUUUUUAUAUCCAAAGAGGUAUGUCAAAAAACUAUCAAGUCAUAACAUAUGUGUGCCCAUAUGUACAUAUAUAUCUGAGUUGCAAUAAUUUAUAUAUGUGUACAAAUAUCUAUAUAUAUACAUGCACAUGUUGUCAGGACUUAAAGAGUGAAGUGAAAUAUCUCAAGACGCUGUCAGGGAAGGAUGUUCCCAUAAGAUAAAACCCCACAAGGGGCAUAGAUGGUGAACAGGAAAGCAUUAAUUCCAGGCCUAAACUGAGGUGAAGGUUUGGAAUUAGCACGGUGGACAAAACCCCACUGUGAUGUGGGAACUCACAAUAAGCACAGAAGGCAAUAGGAAGAUUCCAAGCUGAGUCAGAUCUGGGUAGCCUAUCUGGACAAAAACUCUCACCAUGACAAACUUGAGACAGGAAGCAAGUCCUUAUUCACAUGCCAGCCCAAGCUGUGGGAAUAGCACCUACGUUCUGAGGAUACCUGGGAGUUAGAUUGUAUGAAAGUGAUACCUCCAGAAGAGCACUCCAAGGAACCCUGCCAGUGAGAAGACCAGAAGAAGAAGGGAAGGAGGCCACAGAAACCCAUGUGGUGGUGACUAAUUUUAUACUUAAUCUUUCUCUCCUCUCUCUCUGCCCUCCCUACCACACAUCUGCUCUUAAAUAAGAUUCAUAUCCUGACACUGGCAUAUGGUCUCAUUUGCACCUUAAUUUGGGCAGAAGCAUCUUUUGACAUGUAUGCUAACACGUGUGUACGCAUAUAUGUUCAUUUGUCCAAAUGUAAACACAUAUAUCAUUGAAUCUACCUUGGAAUCUAUAUCAUCAUAAUAUUCCUAUAUCAUAGGAAUCUAUCUUGCCUCAGCACAAAGUAUUUGCUUGUUGAACCAAUCUAAUAUCUAAAUAUUUAGGUUCAAAUUUAAGUUUAUGAACUUAGUUAUGUAAGUUAAUUGCAAAUUGCUAAUGCCAGUUUUGAUCCUAGCAUGUAGCAUUAUACAAAAUUUCUUCUUGAAAUAGUUCGUAGAUCCUACCUUCCCUUUCACAAUUUACUGCAAUAGAAAAAGAAAAAAAGAAACAAAAAAUACCACUAGCAUCAGUACAGAAACCAAAUAAAGGAGCAAAAUAAUUAUGUAGUUUGUAUAUUUCUCUGAAGACAAGACAGGCUAUCUGACUUCCAACAAGUUUGUGUUACAAAGGAUUCCUUAUAUUUACGUGAGCACCUUUCUGAAUAUAGUCCAGCUUAUUUAAAGUAAAUAUAAUAGAGUGAAUCAGCCCAGUGAUAACCUGGGGAGUUAAAGAUCAUGUAUAGAGUAGGAGAGUAAAAGCUGUUGGGUCUUAGCUCAGGUUUGCUCAGAGGACAGAUUUUCCACCUUCAGGAAUAAUUUGCAGAACUUUAGUUGCUCAAUCAUACAUGCUUCAAAUGUAAUUUUUCUUCCCUGUCCAGCACCACUCCUGUAUUUUUCACAUACUUGAAAGCCUCUCAUUGUGUGAUCCCUCUUCUCUCAUGCUAUAUUAGGCCGCUGAAAUUUCAGUGACUUUCAUGAAUUGCACUUCUAUCUAAAGUGUUAAACAUUAUUCAUCCAGCCUACUACAUCUGUUUGGCUGUGUAUGUCAUCCAUGUGUGUCAUAACCAUGUACAAAUAUUCUAUAAUUCAUACAGUAUUGAAGCAAUGUUUCCUGUGUAAUGCAACUAAAUACACUAAUUUAUUUUCAAAUUUAUUGCAGAACUCAAGUGGGUCACUACUGAAUUCCAACAAUAAAACUUCCUUUAACUCACUGAAGGCAGUUUCUCCUGUCACAAACAUCACUUGAAUUCCAAAACCUGUCUGGAUAGGUGAGGGGAGAGUAGUGGAAUGCUGUUUCCCAGACUUCAGUAAGGCUUUUGAUGGUAUCUCCCAUUAUAUCCUCAUAGAUAAAAUCAGUAACUGAAGGGUAGACAAGCAGAGAUGGAUGGAGAAUGUCUGAACAGCAGAGCUCAGGGGGUUUUGAUCAGCAGCACCGAGAGCUGGAUGAAAACCCACAAGUGAUAUUCAAGAUAUACAAGGGAUUUGAUACUGGGUCCAGUCUUGUUCAACUCAUUCAUCAAUGACUUAGAUGAAGGGAUAGUGUGGGGGGAUUAGUGGUGGAGCAGGGCCAGCCAGCCCCACCGGGGAUCUCAGCUACCUUUUGAGGCUGGAAGCAAGAGAGAAAUUUCCUGGGCUUGCCUGUUUCUAAAAUGUGGAAUUCACAGAGGCGGACCAAGCUUCCAAAUGGUUCAAGAGGAUGUCAACUCUCAGAACCAGCCAGCCACUGGUUCCCUCCAGGCACAGAGGAAGCUCCUAGCAGCCUCUCACAGGAAAAUCAUUUCCGUGGGUGGUAUUUUCCUCCUUACUAAAUAGCAAUUAAUGGGAAACCAGCACAGGUAGAUGCUUCCCAGCAAGUUGGCUGAUGGCAUAAGGCUGGGAGAAGUGCCAUCAGGAUAUUCCAGAGGGCUGUGCAGCCCUUUAGAUGGACCUUGCCAGGCCGGAGAGCUGGGCAAAGAAGAACCUUCUGGAAUUCAACAAAGGCAAAUGCAGGGUCCUGCCCCUGGGGAGGAGCACAGGUUAGACCUGGUGGAAGGCAGCUCUGCAGAGAAGAAGCUGGUGGACAAGUAGCUCUGCAUGUACUUUCCAUGUGCCCUUGUGCCAAGAAGGCCAAUGGAAGAGCAUUGCCAGCAGGCUGAGGGAGGUGAGCCUGCCCAUCUCCUCAGCCCUAGUGAGGCCACAUAUGCUGUGCUGUGUCCAGUUCUGGGCUCCUCAGUACAAGAGAGACAUGGACAUCCUGAAGCAGGUCCAUCAAAGAGCUAUAAAAAUGAUUUCCUCUUACAAGGAAAAGUUGAGAGAAUUGGGCCUAUCCAGCUUUGAGAAGAGUCGACUGAGAGAAGACCUUGCCAAUGUCUAUCAGUAUCUGAAGGGACAGCGAUAAGAGGAUGGACCAAGCUCUGUUCAGUGGUGCUGAGCAAUAAGACAAGAGCAACGGGCAGCAACUCAUGCACAGCAAAUUCCACCUGAAUAUGAGAAAGUACUUCUUUAUUCUGUGGGUGACUGAGCAGUGGAACAGAUUCCCCAAAGAGAGGGUAGAGUCUCCUUCACUGGAGAUGUUUAAAGGCCAUCAGAACAGAUGGAAGGACAGAAUGUGCAGUGUGCAUUGUCUAAAGUUUCCAGAUAGAAACACUGUCCUUUCCAUUUACACCAGUUUCAAAAUGAUGUGGAAACCUUGAAGUUCCUCUGCUAACCAUCAAAGGAAAACAGUAUAUUUUGGCACUGCCUCCACUACUGAAGACAAAUUGUAAAAAUCUAUUUCUCACACUGCAGGAUUUUUCCAAGUAUCCCCAUUUUUCUGACGGAAAACCAGCUGGAUUAUACUGGCAAAGACCUCAGGAAGGCAGAACUAAUUGCUCCAAUUAUUACUGGAGAGCCAGGUGGGAAAUUAGAAUGUGGGGCCAGUUGGGGAUAGAUAAAAAAAUACUUCUGGGUGUUUAGAGAGGAAGCUGAUAAUACUCAGGUUUAUAGGGCUGCUGCUGUUUAUCUUGACUCAGCUUUUUAGGCAUCAGUAGUAAGGCUAUUCCUAGCUUAAGGGAACAUGUUAAAUAUAGUUUUCUUUUUAAAAAAGAGAGGAUAAAGACUACUGUCAGAACAUAGACCUGAUUAAUUUUUUAAGGAUCCCUUGUGACAGAAAAGUAUAUCAGAUCUUUUCAGUUCUUAAAAUCAGCAUAUGACAGGCUGUCUGCAAGUGCUUUUGGUACUUGUUUUCUAUUCCCUUAUGUCCCUUUUUCUUCCUCUGUAAUGUAGAAGCUGCUCAUGUGAGAAAUUAUUCUUGCUUGUAUUUGCUGCUUUAAAUUUUGUUGGCAUUGAUUAAAAUUAUGCUGUUGAGUUGUAGAUGGCAGACCCCCUGUAGAAGGUAAUGGCAGAAAGCAAUGUUCUGAUUUUAUAUUAAAGACAAAUUAUACAAAGUCAGGUUGAAUUUUAGCCUUUUUAUUUAUAGAGAUAGUAGAGAAGUUUGACAAUUAUUCUUCUUCUUUCAAUUAGAUCUCAUGUUGGGAAUGGAUCACAUUUUAAUCAGUAAUAUUUUAUUUUGCAGAAAGACCUCUUCUACAUGUAAAUCAGAAGGGCAAAAAGACUAUAAAAGAAGGUAUUACAGCCACUAAAAAUGGGUUUUUAAAAAGAGAUUAACAGAUUUACUUUGCUCUUAAGGAAAGACAAUGAGAAUGUGCAGCAAUUUCUUUUGCUAUGUACAUGACAUGAACUCAGAACCAAAAAAAUGUAAUUCAACCUCUGUUCAAGUCCAUGUUGGUAACAUUUCAGAUUGUCUGUAUUUCUCUUUAAAUCCAUGGAUCAAUAUCCAUUACAAUCAAGUCAACAGUCUCAUACUUGGUCAGUAUAAGGCUCUGAUUAAAAAGAAAUACAAGUCCAGAUUUUUUCCAGGUUCUCAUACAUUUUGCUCUAUGUUAGGAUUAAAUUUGCAAAACUUAAGAAUGAUUUGAGGUGUUGGGAAGGCAGCAAAUGUCAAAGAUAGUAUUUGACCUAAUUAGAUGAUACUUCCUGUGAUUUUGGGAUCUAGUCUAUAAAGGCCUUUAAAAUAAUUUGAUCAAGCCUUGGUCCAGAAACAUAGAACUACAUUAUGGUGAAAGUUACUGCUUCUGACUUGGUCAUUUAUAAAUACUUAGUUAUACUGCUAUAUUUAUAUUUGUAUUUAGUUCCAUUUAACUAAAUUUAACUAAAUUUAAGAAAAUUUAAGAAAAAUAAAUACAUUAGUUUAUGGUUUUUAGGUAAAUUGAAGACUACUCCAGCAUUUGAAUUCAUAGUUCCUCUGCCUGUUCAGUCACUUCCUGACAUAAAUAUAGAAAGAGCAUUUGUAUGCUAUGUAACGAUUCUUGCCAUUUUCCUUAGAAAUAACAGUUCUCAGAUUCUUGCUACCCAAUACCGCAUAUGUGACAUUCUGAUGUUGCUUCAGGAGUUGAAACAAUCCAAAGGUAAGAAACUAAUAAGAAAGUGGAAAUUUCCUGGCACAGAGUUAUUGACUUAUCUGUUCAAAACAAAACACUGGAUGAAGUCUGUGAAAUGUGGGUGCCUGAUCAAAGGUACAGAAGAAAUCACUGCUGAAGGAUGGAAAUGUUUUGACUUCUGUAAUUGUAAGCACCUGAGUGGACAGCAGUUCCCAGAGCACCACUGACACUGAACCAGCAUGUUUGCAGUUUGUGUGUUGAGCCCCUCAAAAAUCUUUGUCAACUAUUUCAUAUCAAAGAGUCAUAGAAUGGUUUGGGUUGGAAGAGAUCUUUAAGGAUCAUCUACAUCCAACCCCACCCCAUGACAGGACACCUUCCACUAGUCCAGGUUGCUCAGACCCUCAUCCAACCUAUCCUUGAACACUUCCAGGGUUAGGGAAACCACUUCUCUGGGAAACCUGAUCCAGUGCCUCUUGUGUUCAAUCUUAAUCUACUCUCAGUUUAAAACCAUUGUCACUGUAGGCCCUGGUAAAAAGUUUUUUACUUUUUUAUAGCUCCCCUUUAUCUAUUUCAAGGCCACAAAGUCUCCCAGGCUGGACAACCCCAACUCUUUCAGCCUGUCUCCAUAGGAGAGGAGUUCUGUCUCUGAUCAUUCUAAUGCAAGAAAGUUUCUCACCUGAAGUAAACCUAUUUUUAGCCUGGACAAACCAGACUUCAAAGUAUAGAUUUGUGCAUAUGUAAGAGCAUUUCCAAAUAUCAGUAACUGUGCUGUAAUUAUCUGUUAAUAACUUUCUUCAUCUGCCUUUUUUCUCCUCUUAUAACUUUCUGGUUGAAAUUCCAAUAUUAGGGCAUUUUUCUCUGAACAUGCUCAUAAGGACUAAUAUUGUACUUCUGAGAUUUCAACCUUCAGAUUUAAAAGAAAUAAAAAUGCUAGUUUUUUAAGGUGUGAGAUGCAGCAAGCCCUUAGCCUGUUCUUUGUCAUAGUACACUAAGUCCUGUGGUUUAAACAGUGUUGCUUUAGCCUAGUUAAAGAGCAAGUCAAAAUCAAUUUUUUUUCUAAGUUUUAAUUACUCUGAAGAAUAUGGCAUUGGUUAGCUGUACCUGCUCUGUCAGUUUGUUCCAUGACUUCUUUUACUCAAGAGAGAUAAUCCGCUUAUCAUCCCUGGGAACUCCUCUUCAGGAGAC